Molecule: long non-coding RNA, 238 nt
Organism: Herpailurus yagouaroundi (jaguarundi)
Lineage: Eukaryota; Metazoa; Chordata; Mammalia; Carnivora; Felidae
Exons: 3
Source: RefSeq, a predicted model, not a curated record
GGGGACCAGUCCUAUAGGAUUAGGACCCCACUCCUAUGACCUCAUUUAAUUACCUUACCAAAGCCCCUGUCUCUAAAUAUAGUCCUAUUAAGGAUUAGGGCUUCAGUAUAUUGGAGGGAACACAAUUGAGUUGGUAACAGAGGCACUUUCCAGACCAAUGUGCAGAGAUCCCAAGCAGAGCGCAGUCAUUUUACUAAGCUGAGGAGGCAGAUUGGAAAAGCGUCUGUAGAGAAAGAGU